RNAcentral lists this ribosomal RNA (497 nucleotides) under uncultured bacterium. RNAcentral's name for it is "partial 16S ribosomal RNA". It matches the Rfam family "Bacterial small subunit ribosomal RNA", at positions 28 to 507 of the family's 1533-position model. The record is from RNAcentral.
GAUGAACGCUGGCGGCGUGCCUAAUACAUGCAAGUCGAGCGAACAGAUGAGGAGCUUGCUCCUCUGACGUUAGCGGCGGACGGGUGAGUAACACGUGGAUAACCUACCUAUAAGACUGGGAUAACUUCGGGAAACCGGAGCUAAUACCGGAUAAUAUAUUGAACCGCAUGGUUCUAUAGUGAAAGAUGGUUUUGCUGUCACUUAUAGAUGGAUCCGCGCCGCAUUAGCUAGUUGGUAAGGUAACGGCUUACCAAGGCAACGAUGCGUAGCCGACCUGAGAGGGUGAUCGGCCACACUGGAACUGAGACACGGUCCAGACUCCUACGGGAGGCAGCAGUAGGGAAUCUUCCGCAAUGGGCGAAAGCCUGACGGAGCAACGCCGCGUGAGUGAUGAAGGUCUUCGGAUCGUAAAACUCUGUUAUUAGGGAAGAACAAAUGUGUAAGUAACUAUGCACGUCUUGACGGUACCUAAUCAGAAAGCCACGGCUAACUACGUG